RNAcentral lists this ribosomal RNA (406 nucleotides) under uncultured bacterium. RNAcentral's name for it is "partial 16S ribosomal RNA". It matches the Rfam family "Bacterial small subunit ribosomal RNA", at positions 30 to 526 of the family's 1533-position model. The record is from RNAcentral.
AUUGAACGCUGGCGGCAGGCCUAACACAUGCAAGUCGAACGAGUGGCGGACGGGUGAGUAAUGUCUGGGAAACUGCCUGAUGGAGGGGGAUAACUACUGGAAACGGUAGCUAAUACCGCAUACCAUCGGAUGUGCCCAGAUGGGAUUAGCUAGUAGGUGGGGUAAAGGCUCACCUAGGCGACGAUCCCUAGCUGGUCUGAGAGGAUGACCAGCCAUCCUGGAACUGAGACACGGUCCAGACUCCUACGGGAGGCAGCAGUGGGGAAUAGUGCACAAGGGGCGCAAGCCGGAUGCAUCCAUUCCGCGUGUAGGAAGAAGGCCUGCGGGUUGUAAAGUACUUUCAGCGGGGAGGCGUUACCCGCAGAAGAAGCACCGGCUAACUCAGUGCCAGCCGCCGCGGUAAUUC